RNAcentral lists this ribosomal RNA (305 nucleotides) under uncultured bacterium. RNAcentral's name for it is "bacterial SSU rRNA". It matches the Rfam family "Bacterial small subunit ribosomal RNA", at positions 335 to 658 of the family's 1533-position model. The record is from RNAcentral.
AGCCUACGGGAGGCAGCGGUGGGGAAUAUUGCACAAUGGGGGAAACCCUGAUGCAGCGACGCCGCGUGGGCGAGGAAGUACCUCGGUAUGUAAAGCCCUAUCAGCAGGGAAGAAACAGGACAGUACCUGACUAAGAAGCCCCGGCUAACUACGUGCCAGCAGCCGCGGUAAUACGUAGGGGGCGAGCGUUAUCCGGAUUUAUUGGGCGUAAAGCGCGCGUAGGCGGCGCGUCAAGCGGGACCUCUAACCCCGGGGCUCAACCCCGGGCCGGGUCCCGGACUGGCGCGCUCGAGUGCGGUAGAGGC